This 768-nucleotide ribosomal RNA is filed under the name uncultured bacterium. RNAcentral's name for it is "bacterial SSU rRNA". It matches the Rfam family "Bacterial small subunit ribosomal RNA", at positions 28 to 776 of the family's 1533-position model. The record is from RNAcentral.
AUUGAACGCUGGCGGCAGGCUAACACAUGCAAGUCGAGCGGCAGCGACUUAACUGAACCUUCGGGGAACGUUAAGGGCGGCGAGCGGCGGACGGGUGAGUAAUGCCUGGGAAUAUGCCCUGAUGUGGGGGAUAACUAUUGGAAACGAUAGCUAAUACCGCAUAAUCUCUUCGGAGCAAAGAGGGGGACCUUCGGGCCUCUCGCGUCAGGAUUAGCCCAGGUGGGAUUAGCUUGUUGGUGAGGUAAUGGCUCACCAAGGCAACGAUCCCUAGCUGGUCUGAGAGGAUGAUCAGCCACACUGGAACUGAGACACGGUCCAGACUCCUACGGGAGGCAGCAGUGGGGAAUAUUGCACAAUGGGGGAAACCCUGAUGCAGCCAUGCCGCGUGUGUGAAGAAGGCCUUCGGGUUGUAAAGCACUUUCAGUAGGGAGGAAGGUAGUGUAGUUAACACCUGCAUUAUUUGACGUUACCUACAGAAGAAGCACCGGCUAACUCCGUGCCAGCAGCCGCGGUAAUACGGAGGGUGCGAGCGUUAAUCGGAAUUACUGGGCGUAAAGCGCAUGCAGGCGGCCUGUUAAGUCAGAUGUGAAAGCCCGGGGCUUAACCUCGGAAUUGCAUUUGAAACUGGCAGGCUAGAGUCUUGUAGAGGGGGGUAGAAUUUCAGGUGUAGCGGUGAAAUGCGUAGAGAUCUGAAGGAAUACCAGUGGCGAAGGCGGCCCCCUGGACAAAGACUGACGCUCAGAUGCGAAAGCGUGGGGAGCAAACGGG